CCUGGCUUAGGAUGAACGCUAGCUACAGGCUAACACAUGCAAGUCGAGGGGCAGCAUUGGGAUAGCUUGCUAUUCAGAUGGCGACCGGCGCACGGGUGAGUAACGCGUAUCCAACCUUCCUGCCAGUAGGGAACAGCCCGGCGAAAGUCGGAUUAAUGCCCUAUGUUCUUCAAUGCGGACAUCUAAGUUGAAGGAAAGAUUCAUCGCUGGCAGAUGGGGAUGCGUCCGAUUAGCUUGCCGGCGGGGUAACGGCCCACCGGGGCGACGAUCGGUAGGGGUUCUGAGAGGAAGGUCCCCCACACUGGUACUGAGACACGGACCAGACUCCUACGGGAGGCAGCAGUGAGGAAUAUUGGUCAAUGGGCGUAAGCCUGAACCAGCCAAGUAGCGUGCCAGGAUGACGGCCCUACGGGUUGUAAACUGCUUUUAUGCGGGGAUAAAGUGCGGCACGUGUGCCGCUUUGCAGGUACCGCAUGAAUAAGGACCGGCUAAUUCCGUGCCAGCCGCCGC
This 510-nucleotide ribosomal RNA is filed under the name uncultured bacterium. RNAcentral describes it as "bacterial SSU rRNA". It matches the Rfam family "Bacterial small subunit ribosomal RNA", at positions 18 to 518 of the family's 1533-position model. The record is from RNAcentral.